GCCGAAUAUAUCGACGAAAAGUCAAACCGUCAAGCUUCGAUCAUUUUGACAUUUGCCUUUGCGGCGUGUGAGAGAAAGAGAAUUUCAUCUGAUCUCUCACUCGUUCAAAAUUCGAACUAGGAUUUGACAGUUCGAUUUUCAUUGUUCCUUUUUGUUCGUCGUGGUCGUCCCGUCGGCUGCUGCCUAGAAUGAAAACAAAAUAAAAUUUUGUUUGCUUGGGCCACGCGCAUAGUGCGUAAUUAAUUAUUAAUUAUAAUAAAUUAUAAUAAGUGCAAUAAUUAAAGUGCCUCCGCGGAUUAACGGGUGAAAAAUAGAAGAAAAAGAAGAAAUCCCGGUUGAUUGCAGUGCCUCCAACCAACCAACGAUCCUCCGGAUGAACGGGACUCACCAAAUCCGGGAGCAGCUCGAGGAAAAACGAAAACAUUGCAGCAGCAAACAUUAUCCCCGUCGUCUUCGGUCUUGUUUUGCCAGCCUGCUGAUGCCCACGGAGCGCUCCGAAACAAAUCCGGAAAUACUCUGGAACGUUCUGGAAAUACCGAGUUCAACAGACAGUUAUCAGCUGUUUUUACUACAGGAUCGUUCAAAUCUGGAGCUACAUAGUCGUUCGUAUUCUUGGCAGCACAAAUUACCUCAUCGGAAUGGAACCACGCCCGAAAGACGAUGAAGUUCCACCGCGUCAGCAGCCGGGGUUUUACGCUGGCUGGCCGCCGCCCACCGGCUAUCAUACAACGUGACGUCCCGGUUGGGUUGCAGCCGAUCGACCACCAUUCUUUGCGGUUCGUUUGGUGUGGCUGCUGGCGCUGAUGUGUAGCAGUUUCAUGAUAGGUUCGCUGACGACUGAUGGUUCCAGUGUGAAUUGUCACGGAAUGGAUCUAUUGCCGAUGGGCUCGUGGGUAACUCCUCCGAAUACGGCGGUCGCAAACAGAGCGAAACAAAAAAUGGUUGGUAGGCCAUCACCAGCGGAAGCAGCCCUUUUAGGAACAACACCAACAGCCUCCGGUGAAUGAUCCUCCGGAUGAGCGGGACUUACCGUUGCCGAUGUGCAAGCCGUUUAGUAG
Molecule: long non-coding RNA, 1058 nt
Organism: Aedes albopictus (Asian tiger mosquito)
Lineage: Eukaryota; Metazoa; Arthropoda; Insecta; Diptera; Culicidae
Exons: 2
Source: RefSeq, a predicted model, not a curated record